RNAcentral lists this ribosomal RNA (301 nucleotides) under uncultured bacterium. RNAcentral's name for it is "partial 16S ribosomal RNA". It matches the Rfam family "Bacterial small subunit ribosomal RNA", at positions 509 to 808 of the family's 1533-position model. The record is from RNAcentral.
CAGCCGCCGCGGUAAUACGUAGGUCCCGAGCGUUGUCCGGAUUUAUUGGGCGUAAAGCGAGCGCAGGCGGUUAGAUAAGUCUGAAGUUAAAGGCUGUGGCUUAACCAUAGUACGCUUUGGAAACUGUUUAACUUGAGUGCAAGAGGGGAGAGUGGAAUUCCAUGUGUAGCGGUGAAAUGCGUAGAUAUAUGGAGGAACACCGGUGGCGAAAGCGGCUCUCUGGCUUGUAACUGACGCUGAGGCUCGAAAGCGUGGGGCGCAAACAGGAUUAGAGACCCCUGUAGUCCCUGUCUCUUAUACA